AAGGAAGAACGGCGGCUACAGGAAAUGGUAGCCGAGUGACGGUACUUUAUUAGAAAGCCACGGCUAACUACGUGCCAGCAGCCGCGGUAAUACGUAGGUGGCAAGCGUUAUCCGGAAUUAUUGGGCGUAAAGAGGGAGCAGGCGGCAGCAAGGGUCUGUGGUGAAAGCCUGAAGCUUAACUUCAGUAAGCCAUAGAAACCAGGCAGCUAGAGUGCAGGAGAGGAUCGUGGAAUUCCAUGUGUAGCGGUGAAAUGCGUAGAUAUAUGGAGGAACACCAGUGGCGAAGGCGACGAUCUGGCCUGCAACUGACGCUCAGUCCCGAAAGCGUGGGGAGCAAAUAGGAUUAGAUACCCUAGUAGUCCACGCCGUAAACGAUGAGUACUAAGUGUUGGAUGUCAAAGUUCAGUGCUGCAGUUAACGCAAUAAGUACUCCGCCUGAGUAGUACGUUCGCAAGAAUGAAACUCAAAGGAAUUGACGGGGGCCCGCACAAGCGGUGGAGCAUGUGGUUUAAUUCGAAGCAACGCGAAGAACCUUACCAGGUCUUGACAUACUCAUAAAGGCUCCAGAGAUGGAGAGAUAGCUAUAUGAGAUACAGGUGGUGCAUGGUUGUCGUCAGCUCGUGUCGUGAGAUGUUGGGUUAAGUCCCGCAACGAGCGCAACCCUUAUCGUUAGUUACCAUCAUUAAGUUGGGGACUCUAGCGAGACUGCCAGUGACAAGCUGGAGGAAGGCGGGGAUGACGUCAAAUCAUCAUGCCCCUUAUGACCUGGGCUACACACGUGCUACAAUGGAUGGUGCAGAGGGAAGCGAAGCCGCGAGGUGAAGCAAAACCCAUAAAACCAUUCUCAGUUCGGAUUGUAGUCUGCAACUCGACUACAUGAAGUUGGAAUCGCUAGUAAUCGCGAAUCAGCAUGUCGCGGUGAAUACGUUCUCGGGCCUUGUACACACCGCCCGUCACACCACGAGAGUUGAUAACACCCGAAGCCGGUGGCCUAACCGCAAGGAAGGAGCUGUCUAAGG
Molecule: ribosomal RNA, 1019 nt
Filed under: Thomasclavelia ramosa
Lineage: Bacteria; Bacillati; Bacillota; Erysipelotrichia; Erysipelotrichales; Coprobacillaceae
Description: bacterial SSU rRNA
Rfam family: Bacterial small subunit ribosomal RNA
Source: RNAcentral